AGUGAACGCUGGCGGUAGGCCUAACACAUGCAAGUCGAACGGCAGCACAGUAAGAGCUUGCUCUUACGGGUGGCGAGUGGCGGACGGGUGAGGAAUACAUCGGAAUCUACUUUUUCGUGGGGGAUAACGUAGGGAAACUUACGCUAAUACCGCAUACGACCUACGGGUGAAAGCAGGGGAUCUUCGGACCUUGCGCGAUUGAAUGAGCCGAUGUCGGAUUAGCUAGUUGGCGGGGUAAAGGCCCACCAAGGCGACGAUCCGUAGCUGGUCUGAGAGGAUGAUCAGCCACACUGGAACUGAGACACGGUCCGGACUCCUACGGGAGGCAGCAGUGGGGAAUAUUGGACAAUGGGCGCAAGCCUGAUCCAGCCAUACCGUGUGGGUGAAGAAGGCCUUCGGGUUGUAAAGCCCUUUUGUUGGGAAAGAAAAGCAGCAGGUUAAUACCCCGCUGUUCUGACGGUACCCAAAGAAUAAGCACCGGCUAACUUCGUG
This 492-nucleotide ribosomal RNA is filed under the name uncultured bacterium. Its description in RNAcentral is "partial 16S ribosomal RNA". It matches the Rfam family "Bacterial small subunit ribosomal RNA", at positions 29 to 507 of the family's 1533-position model. The record is from RNAcentral.